RNAcentral lists this ribosomal RNA (433 nucleotides) under uncultured bacterium. RNAcentral describes it as "partial 16S ribosomal RNA". It matches the Rfam family "Bacterial small subunit ribosomal RNA", at positions 29 to 507 of the family's 1533-position model. The record is from RNAcentral.
AAUGAACGCUGGCGGCAUGCCUAACACAUGCAAGUCGAACGAGACCUCCGGGACUAGUGGCGCAUGGGUGUGUAACGCGUGGGAACCUGCCCUUAGGUUUGGAAUAACUCUCCGACAGGGGUGCUAAUACCGGAUAAUGUCUUCGGACCAAAGAUAUGUCGCCUUUGGAUGGGCACGCGUUGGAUUAGCUAGUUGGUAGGGUAAAAGCCUACCAAGGCGUCGAUCCAUAGCUGGUUAGAGAGGCAGGGAAGCCACACUUAGGCGAAGACGCGGCCCGGACUCCUACGGGAGGCGGGAGAGGGGGAUAUUGGAAAAUGGGGGGAAGGCUGAAGCAGCUAGGGCGGGAAAGUGAUGAAGGCCGUAAGGAAGAGAAGCACGUUUACCCGGGAUGAUAAUGACGGUACCGGAAGAAUAAGCACCGGCUAACUCCGUG